This 73-nucleotide transfer RNA is filed under the name Pteropus alecto (black flying fox). It matches the Rfam family "tRNA". Rfam says of the family: Transfer RNA (tRNA) molecules are approximately 80 nucleotides in length. Their secondary structure includes four short double-helical elements and three loops (D, anti-codon, and T loops). Further hydrogen bonds mediate the characteristic L-shaped molecular structure. tRNAs have two regions of fundamental functional importance: the anti-codon, which is responsible for specific mRNA codon recognition, and the 3' end, to which the tRNAs corresponding amino acid is attached (by aminoacyl-tRNA synthetases). tRNAs cope with the degeneracy of the genetic code in two manners: having more than one tRNA (with a specific anti-codon) for a particular amino acid; and 'wobble' base-pairing, i.e. permitting non-standard base-pairing at the 3rd anti-codon position. Lineage: Eukaryota; Metazoa; Chordata; Mammalia; Chiroptera; Pteropodidae. The record is from Rfam by way of RNAcentral.
GGCUCCAUAGUGUAGUGGUUAGCACGUCAGCUUUCUAUGCAGAAGGUCCUGGGUUCGCACCCUGGUGGAGCCA